RNAcentral lists this ribosomal RNA (462 nucleotides) under Triticum aestivum (bread wheat). Its description in RNAcentral is "partial small subunit ribosomal RNA". The record is from RNAcentral. Lineage: Eukaryota; Viridiplantae; Streptophyta; Magnoliopsida; Poales; Poaceae.
AUGGUAGACAAAACCCACUACACCAAUGGCUCCGAAUUAACUUACAAGGAGAAAAAUCAUCUGGUCGGAUUUUGUACUGACAUUGAGAAUUACAGUAUCUACAAUCAAACUCCUCAACAUUAUGGUCAAUACAUGUCACUAGUGCAUGUGUUCAACUACGGUAACUACCUUGGAGAUACCCUGAUAAUCCCAGAGAAUUGUGUGCCUCAUUUGAUGUAUCAGAAAGGUAGCCUUAAUGUUUUGAACAUACAGCCAGGUCAUCCUACGAAUCUCAAUUUUCCAUACCAGAUUCCUAAAAGAAAUGGAGACAUGCAAGUCAAAGGAUGGAAAAAAUGUAUGGACAAUCGUAAGGAGGUUCUUGGAAGCAAAAGAAAGCGAUGCGUAAGAAUUGGAGACAUGAUGAUCUCCAUUCUUCAUAAUGGAGAGUCAGGGUCUAUUUUGUUUUAUGCUAUUUUACCAUGA